This 240-nucleotide ribosomal RNA is filed under the name uncultured bacterium. RNAcentral's name for it is "partial 16S ribosomal RNA". It matches the Rfam family "Bacterial small subunit ribosomal RNA", at positions 15 to 235 of the family's 1533-position model. The record is from RNAcentral.
GAUCCUGGCUCAGGAUGAACGCUGGCGGCGUGCUUAACACAUGCAAGUCGAACGAAGCGCUUUGGAUGGAUUUCUUCGGAUUGAUAUCCUUAGUGAUUGAGUGGCGGACGGGUGAGUAACGCGUGGGUAACCUGCCUCAUACAGGGGGAUAACAGUUAGAAAUGGCUGCUAAUACCGCAUAAGCGCACAGUACCGCAUGGUACCGUGUGAAAAACUCCGGUGGUAUGAGAUGGACCCGCG